RNAcentral lists this ribosomal RNA (252 nucleotides) under uncultured bacterium. Its description in RNAcentral is "partial 16S ribosomal RNA". It matches the Rfam family "Bacterial small subunit ribosomal RNA", at positions 524 to 776 of the family's 1533-position model. The record is from RNAcentral.
UACGUAGGGGGCAAGCGUUGUCCGGAAUCAUUGGGCGUAAAGAGCGUGUAGGCGGCCAGAUAAGUCCGCUGUGAAAUCUCGAGGCUCAACUUCGAGCUGUCGGUGGAAACUGUCUGGCUAGAGUCCGGAAGAGGAGAAUGGAAUUCCUGGUGUAGCGGUGAAAUGCGCAGAUAUCAGGAAGAACACCCGUGGCGAAGGCGGUUCUCUGGGACGGUACUGACGCUGAGACGCAAAGCGUGGGGAGCGAACAGG